UCCUUACCAGAAACUGAAGCAAGGGUUGCUAAUAAAUGAAUUUUGGAAAAAAUGAUAUUAUUUGUCUGGCCUUUCUCACGUAUAAGAGUGGCCUCCCUUGAAGCCAGGUGCUCGUUGCCAGGCAAUAUUAUAGGUGGCGCCGCUGUGAACAUGUGCAUGUGAAAACGAAAGUAGAUUGUUUAUCUAGGAAUGAUUACAACAUUUUACCCUUCUACGUUGAAUUUUUAAGGUAAGUAGAUUAAAUGCUAUUUUGUUGUGUUAAAUAACUAGGGAAGUAUUCAUUCAAUUCUAUUUCAAUGGAAAUGGAGCAGAAUUAUUGACACACAAGUGGCACAACGGUGCAGACUGUUAAUGUUAUCUGUGACACUCACAGUAGGAAGACAAAAAAUCUACUGACACAGUGAAAGUGUUUACAUUUUGCAUUAUUUUUCUGAUUCAACCUGAUGAAUGGUGUGUACUCAUUGAAUACAUGUACUGUAUAUGAAAUUAAUGAAGCAGUAAUUUGACAAAUACAAGCAAUGAGACAUUGUUCAUUGAUUAAAAUAUGGAAUAUUUUUCUGGUGUCCUUCACAAAUGAGACAAUUAAUCCUUGAGAUAUAAAAGAAUGCUUCAAGGUCAACAGAAUAUGACUGAAAUUAUAAAGGCUUGUAAUGUAGUUUCUUAUUAUCAUUAUUAUAAUAUUGACAUGUUGUGAUGUCUUGCACUAAUCAGUGUUUGUUUUGUAUUAUAUUUCAGAUAUAAUAGUAUGAAUAUAGAGAUGAUUAUUUAGUUACCUUCAGCUGGUCAUUGGUCAAAAGGGAGAAUGUCUGUGUGUCUUGAAGCAUUGAAUGCCCCCAAAACAACCAGUAUGAUAAGAAGGUGUACAAUCUGGGUUGAAAACAGCCAUGGACAAUGAAUUUGGAGGUGCAUACUGGAGCAUCAGAAAUUACAUACUUGGAAUAAAUAAUUGCACAAUACACAUUUACUGAGAAGUGACUAAUGUUUAUGUUAAAGUGCAAUAUCCAUGUUUGUAACAUUUACAUGGGGGUAAUAGUUACAGUGUUGAAAGAGACUACCAGUGUUACAUUUCAAACUAAGUUACAGUGUGGAUGCUAAUUCUAAAUUCUUGAUAAUCAAGUGUUUUUAAUAAUUUAUGAAUACUAAUUAUUUAUCAAACUGUUUAAUUUAUCACAUUCCUACAUCAUUAUUUUAUAUAAAAUGCUUGUAGUUAUAUAAUAUAUGUCAGGUUAAAUGGUAAUAAAUUUUGUUUCUGUGUAAA
Long non-coding RNA from Mercenaria mercenaria, 1258 nucleotides. RefSeq lists it as uncharacterized. The transcript has 3 exons. The record is from RefSeq and is a predicted model, not a curated record. Lineage: Eukaryota; Metazoa; Mollusca; Bivalvia; Venerida; Veneridae.